Molecule: transfer RNA, 67 nt
Filed under: Diplodus sargus (white seabream)
Lineage: Eukaryota; Metazoa; Chordata; Actinopteri; Spariformes; Sparidae
Description: tRNA-Cys
Source: RNAcentral
AAGCUCUGAGGUGUUUCACAUGUUGGGUUGCAAACCCAAAGUAGUAGGCUAACUGCCUACCGGGGCU